This 148-nucleotide ribosomal RNA is filed under the name uncultured bacterium. Its description in RNAcentral is "partial 16S ribosomal RNA". It matches the Rfam family "Bacterial small subunit ribosomal RNA", at positions 355 to 520 of the family's 1533-position model. The record is from RNAcentral.
UGGGGAAUAUUGGACAAUGGGGGCAACCCUGAUCCAGCAAUGCCGCGUGUGUGAAGAAGGUCUUCGGAUUGUAAAGCACUUUCGACGGGGACGAUGAUGACGGUACCCGUAGAAGAAGCCCCGGCUAACUUCGUGCCAGCAGCCGCGG